RNAcentral lists this ribosomal RNA (480 nucleotides) under uncultured eukaryote. RNAcentral describes it as "bacterial SSU rRNA". It matches the Rfam family "Eukaryotic small subunit ribosomal RNA", at positions 390 to 870 of the family's 1831-position model. The record is from RNAcentral.
GGGAGCCCGAGAAACGGCUACCACUUCCAAGGAAGGCAGCAGGCGCGCAACUUACCCUAAUCUCGAUUCGAGGAGGUAGUGACAAGAAAUACCGAUGCGGGACCCUACGGGUAGCCGCGUUCGGAAUGAGUACGAUUCGAACCACCUAACGAGGAACGAUCGGAGGGCAAGUCUGGUGCCAGCAGCCGCGGUAAUUCCAGCUCCAAUAGCGUACGUUAAAGUUGCUGCAGUUAAAAAGCUCGUAGUUGAACGUUCGGGUUCCGCGGGACGGGGCCGCCCCGCGAGGGACGGCGCCGCCCCGGGGCUCGUGAUAUCUCAUCUCGCCGCCCGUCGCGAGGCGGACGGAGGGAUGGAUGAGGUUACCUGGAAAAAAUCGGGGCGAUCUAGGCGGGCGAACCUCGCCAACGAACGAUCGGACAUGGGAUAACGGAAGAGGGCGUCGGCUCGGACUUCGUCGGUUCCUCGGGCCGAGGCACGUAC